RNAcentral lists this ribosomal RNA (520 nucleotides) under Brachistinae sp. RNAcentral describes it as "partial large subunit ribosomal RNA". Lineage: Eukaryota; Metazoa; Arthropoda; Insecta; Hymenoptera; Braconidae. The record is from RNAcentral.
AGAACUUUGAAGAGAGAGUUCAAGAGUACGUGAAACCGUUCAGGGGUAAACCUGAGAAACCCGAAAGAUCGAAUGGGGAGAUUCAUCGUCAGCGCAUUUGGUAUAUGUGCAAAAUUGCGAUGUGAGUUAUCCUUAUGGGAUAAUACUUGCACGUAUUUGUAUCAUUUAAUUGCUGAAUGUCGUCGGCGUGCACUUUCUCCUCUAGUAGGACGUCGCGACCCGUUGGGUGUCGGUCUACGGCCCAGAUGGUAGUCUUUGAUGUUUAUUGCAAAAUAUAAUAUUGAAGACCACUGGUGUUUCCCGACCGACUGCCCGGCGGUAUUCGCACGGUAUUAAGCCGCUUUAAUGCGUCAAACUCGCCACAAGCGCGGUCAAUGUUUCUGGUAGUUUACGGACCUAGUGCCGUCGUCAGGCCUGACCAGCUGUUAGUUUGUGCGAUGUUUCUUUUGACUGGCUUUGAAAAUAUAUAUAAUACCGGUCGGCGACGCUAUUGCUUUGGGUACUUUCAGGACCCGUCUUG